RNAcentral lists this unclassified non-coding RNA (4496 nucleotides) under Leishmania donovani. Its description in RNAcentral is "gene:LdHU3.10.1770(CDS-product:Protein_of_unknown _function_(DUF1861)_putative)". The record is from RNAcentral. Lineage: Eukaryota; Euglenozoa; Kinetoplastea; Trypanosomatida; Trypanosomatidae.
GCAUUCACUUCGCCUCUUUUCUCCUGAACUUGCUUGGCCGUUUGUCUCAGCUCUCCGUGAAUAGCAGAAGACUUUUCAAGGCUGUUCGCAAGUGUACGGAAAUUUACACGAGAAACAUACAGGAAUCUCUUAGCAGAUUCCAGACGUUGAGCCGAGGAGGCCCUUGAGAAAACCACCGGCAGCUCUUUUUCUCGUUUGCGUCUCGUUCACCUCCUACGCGGUUUCUUUCUCCAGAACCAAAGGCGUAAUCAGCGAAGAAGAAGCGAUCAAAACACACACAGUCAUAGCGCUCGCCUACACCCCCCUUGUCACCCGCACCGAAUUUCUUUAUUCCUUUCCCCUUUUAGGCCCACCAAAAAAAGAUGAGCACAUUCGAGAAGGUCAAGGAGGAGAAGUUGGAGUUCGAGAAGAACUGCGACCAGCACAUCUACGAGAAGGCUCUCCUUACCUUCAAGGGCGUGGAUGGGAUGGAUGUGUACAAUUGCUCUGCACCCUUCAAGUACGAGGGCCGGACGCACAUCUUUGGUCGUGUGGAGAAGCGGUCCGAGUGGGCCAAUUCGUAUGUACGGUUGUUUGUGGAAACGAAUAAGGAUGAAUUCACUCUGGUGCCUGGCAACAUGGUGUGGCAGCUUGAGGAUCCGUUCGUCUCAAAUAUCGAUAAUGAGAUGCUCCUCGGUGGGACGCACAUCCGGAAAACGAACAACCGCGUCUUUACCUACUACUGCGACUUCUUUCGCGGCACUGCGGAGAACCUGAGCUACUUCACGACGGGACCUGACAACAUGAAGGAUAUUCGCCUUGUCGAGCUGGCCAACAACAAGAUUGGCGUCUUUUCGCGGCCAAAGACGGCAGCGCACGCCUUCAUUGGCUUCACGGUGAUCAACAACGUGAUGGAGUUAACACCUACACUUGUCGAGGAGGCCCCGCCUCUCAAUGUCAUUCACACCGGCGCCUGGGGUGGUGUGAAUCAGGCGUACCUACUGAGCUCCGAUAAAGUGGGGUGUAUCAGCCAUUACAGUUACAUUGACAAAGACGAAGACGGCAAUGAGAUCACCGUGUACACCAACUACUCCUUCGUCCUGAACCCGUACCUUCGUGAGGUGGAGGACGCAAGAAUUAUCGGGACCAAGGGCUGCUACCCAAAGUGUUCCCCGAAGGUUGACAAACUUCUCGACUGCGCUUUCAGUUCUGGCAUUGUCAUGCGCGAGGACGGCCUUUGUGACUUGUACAGCGGGUUAGGAGACGCUUACGAAGGCCGUAUCACUAUCAACUACCCGUUUGAGGGUCAUGGAACUCUCAUCGACAACCUGCACUUCUAGGCAACAGUGUGCGUAUGUGUGUUUAUCUGCUUUUUCAUGCGUAAUGUUUCUUUCCUCAGCAUAGCCUUCCCUCUACUUUUCUGUUACCCUUUCCCAUCAUCCUCCACUAUUGAGUAUUGGUGCGAACUCGAGAGAACGGUGGGCUCUUCUAGUCUCUCUUUUCUUUUUCGUUCUGUUUCUGCUCCCUGAUGAUGUGAGGAUACACCUCUCCGUGUGUGGUGUCAGGGCUCAGUACCCCGACUCUGCGUGGGGGGAAGCCAGGCGCCCUCUUAACCCCUGUCGAUGUCAAGCCACCUCUGGUUGUGCCAGCGACAAUCACCCACGCGGUUGAGGAUGCCAGAGCGAUGCAUGGCUGCUGAUGUCGGCGGUGGGGUGGUGGACGGCGUUGCGUUGGAGCGGCCUGAGACAGCGAACACGCGUGUGCCAUCCACAUCAUGGGCACAGUGCCAAUGCCACUCCAAUGCAUCUUCACCCCGCCCUGGCACUGCCUGCAGGUGUGGGGCGCCUGAGCCACCUCGAGGGGGGGAUGCAUCAGGUGGCUGCCGGCACCAUGGGAGCGGCUGUGAGGCGACCUGACCUGCGAGGCAGGGGGGCGGGUAGAGUGUGAGGCAGAGGCUGUGCUGCGGUGCCCACGUGGGCAUUGCGGUAGCACUUGUCUGCUGCUGCAUGGCACCACGCGAUGAGUUCAUGACAACGCCGGGGGUAGGGUGGAGUCCGCUUCUUGCUUUAUGGCAGAAUGAAGACUUGAAAGGAGCUGCUUGUGUGCAGGGCGAAGGGCUCAUUGCUUUUUGGUGCCUUACCCAACCUUCACCUUUUCUUUCUCGGCGAGUUUUGCUUCCGCGCGUCUUCGUGACUCUUCUCUCCCCCAGCUACCACAGCUGCAGCAUGAAACGCGAAUGAAAAUGGAGAAAUGAGAAGGAAAAAGGGCGAAAAAAGGCAGUCUCGUCAGUCGCACCGGAGGAGGCGCCCAUCCGCGAGGGAAAAAAGGGCUUUGCUUCAUUUGCUUUUCUUUUUGUCGUGGUUCGCUAUCUCUCACUUUUUCACAGCGAUUUUUUUCGACACAUGCACACACAUUAGCGUCACCGCGCGCCUCCUCCCGCACAAGAACCGACACUCGUAUGUCUAUGCGUGCACCUACAUUCAUGCAUGUGCGCGUGUGUGGGUAGAAGUAUCAGUGAUAUGCUACACACAGACAGGUGGACAAGGAAGAGACAUAGUGAGAGCGAGAAAACAAUGAAGAGCGACUGAGAGGAUAGCCAGUUGUUGCUACUCUUUUUUAUUUCAACCCGCUUGUCUUUGUUUUGCUUGCCAUUUGACAGCACGACACUUUCAUCAAUGACACCACACGAGCUAAGAUGUCAGCGAGGCGCCGACGCCUAGGCGUGUGCGCCUUGGUGCGUGGGUUCGUGUAUCGCAAUGAGAGGACUGCACAAGAGACGCAUGCACAACAUCAGCUUUUGCCCGUCACCAAACCGGUUCUUCUUUUCAUGUAUUUCAUUCAUGCUUGCUGUGGAUACUCUGGGGCCGUUGCUGCUUUCCCUCACGCUUCUUUUCUCUCGCUCUCUUUGCACCUGCGUGCUGUUGAUCGAUUACUCCACACGCCAGCCCAGCGAGUGUGUCUGAUGGACUACCGAGUUCUUUUUCUUUCUUAUACAACCUGCGGUAUAGACAUUAAGGCAUGCUUGUGUUUGAGCACACACACACACACAAACACACACACACACACACCGGAGGAGGGCUUGUACAUGUGUAUACGCCCGUACUUGUGUGUGCUGUAGCCAGAGAGAUAGAGCAAGAGAGACGGCAUGUGCGGUGGGAGAAAGGCGGAACAGAGAAGUAAAAGCGAAAAGGGAGAGAGAAAGCGGAGGGGAAGGCAAAACGGCUAUCAGCAUUACGAGAAGACGGAAUCGGAGAGAAAAAGAAGACUGCCAUCUGCUCGAUAUGGCAGAGGCAGGGAGAAGGCGGGCGGGGGGAUGUACAGCUUCAAGUGACUUUUCGACGAGAGAAAGCACAUACAGGUCCCUUCAGUUUCGAAGUACUCUGCGAAUGUGCUUCACGUCUCUAAAUACCUUUCUUUCGCUCGAUCCUAUUCUUCCGCUUGUUCUUCACUGCGCACGGUGUAAGGUGUGUGUGUGUGUGUGCGCUUGUUUGCGCUUGCGUGUGUGUCUGUCUGAGUCUUGUGUGUUUGCGUUGUGCCCAAAGGGGUGAGAGAGGAAGGAAAACGAAGCUUUUUCUCUAUUUUCAUUCACUUCUUUUUCCCUUUUGUUCUCUUUCACUUCUCCUUUCGCCAAUACUACCACCACCACCGCCGCCAACGCCUGACUCUUUUCCAUUCAGCGAUGCACUGCCUUGAUAAACACUCGUUGACUGUUUUCUCCAUUUUAUUCUUCCUUGUUUGCUCAACGUCCCUGAUGAUGUGAGGAUACACCUCUCCGUGUGUGGUGUCAGGGCUCAGUACCCCGACUCUGCGUGAGGGGAAGCCAUGCACCCUCUUAACCCCUGUCGAUGUCAAGCCACCUCUGGUUGUGCCAGCGACAAUCACCCACGCGGUUGAGGAUGCCAGAGCGAUGCAUGGCUGCUGAUGUCGGCGGUGGGGUGGUGGACGGCGUUGCGUUGGAGCGGCCUGAGACAGCGAACACGCGUGUGCCAUCCACAUCAUGGGCACAGUGCCAAUGCCACUCCAAUGCAUCUUCACCCCGCCCUGGCACUGCCUGCAGGUGUGGGGCGCCUGAGCCACCUCGAGGGGGAUGCAUCAGGUGGCUGCCGGCACCAUGGGAGCGGCUGUGAGGCGACCUGACCUGCGAGGCAGGGGGGCGGGUAGAGUGUGAGGCAGAGGCUGUGCUGCGGUGCCCACGUGGGCAUUGCGGUAGCACUUGUCUGCUGCUGCAUGGCACCACGCGAUGGGGACGCUGUGACGGGCCGGGGGUAGGGUGGAGGUCAGAUCAUGCGGUAUGGGAGAAUGAGCAAGCCGAACGAAAAGUGUGCUUCUCUUCUUGUUCUUCCGCACCUCCGAUUGAUGCAUUGCGAGCUUUUUUUGUGGGUACUUUUUCUUGUUGCCGACAUAGCAGGACGUGUUUGCUGCUUCUUUGGUGCGCCCGUACCUUUGCCAAAGCCACUUCACCCACACCUACCCACCCAGCUAUGCAGAAUUGUAGAGAGACAGAUCGAUACUUUUUC